Molecule: ribosomal RNA, 253 nt
Filed under: uncultured bacterium
Lineage: Bacteria
Description: partial 16S ribosomal RNA
Rfam family: Bacterial small subunit ribosomal RNA
Source: RNAcentral
UACGUAGGGUGCAAGCGUUGUCCGGAAUUAUUGGGCGUAAAGAGCUCGUAGGCGGUCUGUUGCGUCGGCUGUGAAAACCCGGGGCUCAACUCCGGGCCUGCAGCCGAUACGGGCAGACUAGAGUUCGGCAGGGGAGACUGGAAUUCCUGGUGUAGCGGUGAAAUGCGCAGAUAUCAGGAGGAACACCGGUGGCGAAGGCGGUUCUCUGGGCCUGUACUGACGCUGAGGAGCGAAAGCGUGGGGAGCGAACAGG